AGCGAACGCUGGCGGCAGGCCUAACACAUGCAAGUCGAACUAACCUUUCGGGGUUAGUGGCGGACGGGUGAGUAACACGUGGGAACGUGCCUUUAGGUUCGGAAUAACUCAGGGAAACUUGUGCUAAUACCGAAUGUGCCCUUCGGGGGAAAGAUUAAUCGCCUUUAGAGCGGCCCGCGUCUGAUUAGCUAGUUGGUUGAGGUAAUGGCUCACCAAGGCGACGAUCAGUAGCUGGUCUGAGAGGAUGAUCAGCCACAUUGGGACUGAGACACGGCCCAAACUCCUACGGGAGGCAGCAGUGGGGAAUCUUGCGCAAUGGGCGAAAGCCUGACGCAGCCAUGCCGCGUGAAUGAUGAAAGUCUUAGGAUUGUAAAAUUCUUUCACCGGGGACGAUAAUGACGGUACCCGGAGAAGAAGCCCCGGCUAACUUCGUG
RNAcentral lists this ribosomal RNA (434 nucleotides) under uncultured bacterium. RNAcentral describes it as "partial 16S ribosomal RNA". It matches the Rfam family "Bacterial small subunit ribosomal RNA", at positions 29 to 507 of the family's 1533-position model. The record is from RNAcentral.